GUAACAAGGUUUCCGUAGGUGAACCUGCGGAAGGAUCAUUACCAAACAAACCGCGGCCUAAAAACCGCACACUCCGUCCGGGUUCGGGCCCAGCGGCAGUGUCAACCUGCUGUGAACCAGAGUCCUGUGCUUCGGCAGCGGGACCGGCCGGGUCAACCGGUCGGGCCGUGAGCCUGCCAGCAGCGAACUUUGCAAACCUGCAUCAAACCGGCAGUCGUUCACGCAUUCCGAAUGGAAUCAAAACUUUCAACAACGGAUCUCUUGGUUCUCGCAUCGAUGAAGAACGCAGCGAAACGCGAUAGUUAAUGUGAAUUGCAGAAUUCAGUGAAUCAUCGAGUCUUUGAACGCACAUUGCGCCCUCCGGCAUUCCGGAGGGCAUGUCUGUUUGAGCGUCAUCUCAACCCUCGUCUCUGGCGGUUUUGGGCUCCGAUCACCAACCGGGCCUUAAAGUUGAACGCUCCGCGGGCUGCCUGACCGGCGAACAUGGUGGAAUUGCUUCUGUUCCAACCGGUCGUGGCCGUCCGCCUGAACAAGAACCCCCUUCAGGUUUGACCUCAGAUCAGACAAGGAUACCCGCUGAACUUAAGCAUAUCAAUAA
This 598-nucleotide ribosomal RNA is filed under the name Orbilia crenatofalcata. RNAcentral describes it as "eukaryotic LSU rRNA". The stretch from base 242 to 395 matches the Rfam family "5.8S ribosomal RNA". The record is from RNAcentral. Lineage: Eukaryota; Fungi; Ascomycota; Orbiliomycetes; Orbiliales; Orbiliaceae.